This 411-nucleotide ribosomal RNA is filed under the name uncultured bacterium. Its description in RNAcentral is "bacterial SSU rRNA". It matches the Rfam family "Bacterial small subunit ribosomal RNA", at positions 1073 to 1482 of the family's 1533-position model. The record is from RNAcentral.
UGUUGGGUUAAGUCCCGCAACGAGCGCAACCCUUAUCCUGUGUUGCCAGCAAGUUAUGUUGGGGACUCGCAGGAGACUGCCGGGGUCAACUCGGAGGAAGGUGGGGAUGACGUCAAGUCAUCAUGCCCCUUAUGCCCAGGGCUGCAAACACGCUACAAUGGCCGGUACAGAGGGCUGCGAUCCCGCGAGGGUGAGCGAAUCCCACAAAGCCGGUCUCAGUUCGGAUUGGAGUCUGCAACUCGACUCCAUGAAGCCGGAGUUGCUAGUAAUCCCGGAUCAGCACGCCGGGGUGAAUACGUUCCCGGGCCUUGUACACACCGCCCGUCACACCACGAAAGUCGGUAACACCCGAAGCCGGUGGCCCAACCCUCUGGGAGGGAGCCGUCGAAGGUGGGAUCGGUGAUUGGGGUG